CUUAAAGUUUUCCUCCCAUGAGAAACAAUCCAGUUCUUGUCACUGGUGGACAUAAUUAAUGUUCCUAAAGUGUCAGCCUUACAUCAGCUGCUGUGGUGUUCACCAAACAGGCGGGAUGCAGCUCGGUGUUUUAGGUUCAUGUUUUUAUGUGCAUCCUUAUCUGGAAGUUUGUGUUUGCAAAGCAGGAAAACGAGCUCCUGGGGAACAUAAAGUGGAGCUAAAGUGGAGAUUUGCAGAUAAAGGCACCGGCUUACUACUCAGAACUUGCUCCAGUUCUUAGUAAAACUGAGUCCGUGUGCGUAGGAGGGGGCUCUGAACCCAGCAGCCUCUUCUUCACGACAUUUUCCCCACAACUUUUCAACAUAACUCCCUGGUUUAAGCCUCAUAUAUAAAUCUAAACAACAGUUUCAGACACAUGUUAUUUCUAAUAGAAAACAGGCUGAGUGAUAAAUGUAUGGGUGUGUGUGUAAAUAUUUGUGCCUCUGUGCCAGCAGUGCGUAAUUCUGGACACACCCCAGAGCGCUGCAUGGAUAGCGGCUGGUGCAACGUCA
Long non-coding RNA from Poecilia latipinna (sailfin molly), 551 nucleotides. RefSeq lists it as uncharacterized. The record is from RefSeq and is a predicted model, not a curated record. The transcript is spliced from 2 exons. NCBI's taxonomy places the organism in Eukaryota, Metazoa, Chordata, Actinopteri, Cyprinodontiformes, Poeciliidae.